GGAAGCAACGCCGCGUGAGCGAUGAAGGCCUUCGGGUCGUAAAGCUCUGUGUUAGGGAAGACAAGUACCGUUCGAAUAGGGCGGUACCUUGACGGUACCUAACCAGAAAGCCACGGCUAACUACGUGCCAGCAGCCGCGGUAAUACGUAGGUGGCAAGCGUUGUCCGGAAUUAUUGGGCGUAAAGCGCGCGCAGGCGGUUCCUUAAGUCUGAUGUGAAAGCCCACGGCUCAACCGUGGAGGGUCAUUGGAAACUGGGGAACUUGAGUGCAGAAGAGGAAAGCGGAAUUCCACGUGUAGCGGUGAAAUGCGUAGAGAUGUGGAGGAACACCAGUGGCGAAGGCGGCUUUCUGGUCUGUAACUGACGCUGAGGCGCGAAAGCGUGGGGAGCAAACAGGAUUAGAUACCCUGGUAGUCCACGCCGUAAACGAUGAGUGCUAAGUGUUAGGGGGUUUCCGCCCCUUAGUGCUGCAGCUAACGCAUUAAGCACUCCGCCUGGGGAGUACGGCCGCAAGGCUG
RNAcentral lists this ribosomal RNA (517 nucleotides) under uncultured Bacillota bacterium. Its description in RNAcentral is "bacterial SSU rRNA". It matches the Rfam family "Bacterial small subunit ribosomal RNA", at positions 387 to 896 of the family's 1533-position model. The record is from RNAcentral. Lineage: Bacteria; Bacillati; Bacillota.